This 237-nucleotide ribosomal RNA is filed under the name uncultured bacterium. Its description in RNAcentral is "partial 16S ribosomal RNA". It matches the Rfam family "Bacterial small subunit ribosomal RNA", at positions 105 to 334 of the family's 1533-position model. The record is from RNAcentral.
CGACGGUGAGUAACACGUAUGCAAUCCACCUGUAACAGGGGGAUAACCCGGAGAAAUCCGGACUAAUACCCCAUAAUAUGGGCGCUCCGCAUGGAGAGUCCAUUAAAGAGAGCAAUCUUGGUUACAGACGAGCAUGCGCUCCAUUAGCCAGUUGGCGGGGUAACGGCCCACCAAGGCGACGAUGGAUAGGGGUUCUGAGAGGAAGGUCCCCCACAUUGGAACUGAGACACGGUCCAA